Molecule: non-coding RNA, 91 nt
Filed under: Streptomyces sp.
Lineage: Bacteria; Bacillati; Actinomycetota; Actinomycetes; Kitasatosporales; Streptomycetaceae
Also listed under: 1 other name
Description: ZTP sequence
Rfam family: ZMP/ZTP riboswitch aptamer (pfl RNA motif)
About the family: Previously known as pfl RNA. ZMP is also known as AICAR.
Source: RNAcentral
ACCGCGUGCGGCGACUGGCGAACGUGGAACGGACCACGGGGAAGCCGCGCGGCGCAGCAGCCGAGUGGUGCCGCCCGCCUGGGUGCCCCGG